Molecule: long non-coding RNA, 1658 nt
Organism: Megalobrama amblycephala (Wuchang bream)
Lineage: Eukaryota; Metazoa; Chordata; Actinopteri; Cypriniformes; Xenocyprididae
Exons: 3
Source: RefSeq, a predicted model, not a curated record
GACACCGAACCCCCACCCGUAUAAUGUUUUAAAUUUGCAAUAUUAAAAACUAGCAUGUAAAAUGUUUAUGUGACUAAAAUGCAUGCUGUGAUGGGUUACGCGCUCGUCUUAGUUAUUUAUAGAGUCACCCCAGAACCAGCACAAAGAAGUCUUCCCUUAAAUGUAGCCUAAACCAAUGGUUUCCAACCACAUUCCUAGAGGCCCCCCACCAUGCACAUUUUGCAUGUCUUCUUGUCUAACACACCCAUUUCAGGUCUUUGAGUCACUACCAAUGAGCUGAUUACCUAAAUCUGGUGUGUUUGAUUAAGGAGACAUGCAAAAUGUGCAGUGCUGGGGGGCCUCCAGGAACGUGGUUGGGAACCACAGGCCUAAAGGAUACGAGCGCUGCGGAUACCCGCAAGAUGGAGAUUUGUCUUGAUAGAAAGUAGUGGAGAAUGACAGGAAGCGAAGUGGUGGAGAGAGACAGAGAAAAUGGAGCACGAGGUUUUGAACUCGGAUCACACGAAACAACAAACCCGCAGCGCGCCGGAGCAAUGACCGUGAAGCCAUCGGAUCCGACACCCGGUAUUAUGGCUUAUUUAUAUGGAAAUGAGCAGCGCGAAUAUUUUGUGUUCCACAGAGGAAAACUAUACAGUUUUUGAACGACACAAGGAUGCUCAAAUUGAUCAAAGACUAAAAGAAUAAAAAUCUGUGAGAGGUUAAAAAGUCUAUGCUGGAGAUACAGAGGACACCUCCGUCUUGCUGGUGGACACAGUUGAGGACUCCUCAUCGCCAAGAGGAUUCUUUCCACAGAAAAGAGUGGUCAGCAUGCAGCUCCGGAACUGUAAAAGACAGUGUUUCAUUUAGAACUUUUUGGGGUUUUAUUCAGCUUUUUAUUGAUAGAGACGAUAGAGAGAGGAGAGGGAGUAGAGCAGGAAUGGGAUGUCUGGCAUAGGAGAAGUCAGAUAUAUGAUUAACCUGUUUGUUUAGCAGCACAUAGAUGAUUGGGUUAUAUAAGGCUGAGGUCUUUGAGAAAAAGGCAGGAACAGCCAUGGACUGGGCAGUGAAAGCAGCUCCCUUAUUAAAGAAGAUCCAGGCAGCAACACUGGCAUAAGGGGUCCAAGCCACCAGGAAACCCAAAACCAUCAGGAUGACCAUUUUUGUCACUUCCCUCUCAGCCUUCUGGGUAGAUGCUGAGUCCUGCUGUUGAGCUGCAGCCUAAGAGAGCACAAAACAGCCCAUUUUUAACAUUGUAUUCCAAUAUUUGAGAAAUUACAGGAAUGUUUAACAUGACAUUUCAUACCGCCUUGACGGUGCAAACAAGCCGCCCAUAGGUGAAGAAGAUUACGGUGACCGGAAGUAUAAAAUGGCAGGUGAACAUGUAGAUGACAUAUGAUUCAUUGUUGUAUUCAGGAUUCAGGGUGUAAUAGUCUGGUCCACAUGAACACUGCAUUCCCUCAGGAAUAUAUCUGUUAAAGAAAAGCACCUGAUGUUAGGAAACUUCAGUCAGAGUAAUAUAUGUUGUACCUAGGCAUUUGAAAACAACUACAUUUAAUACAAACUAUGCAGUUAAAAAUUAGCAUUAAAAAAUCAGUGUGACUGUUACACUGGGAAAAGCCUUAUUUACAUUGAAAGUAAGCCAUCCCUGUGUAUCAAUAAACAUGUUGCCUUUUAAAAAA